RNAcentral lists this transfer RNA (71 nucleotides) under Loxodonta africana (African savanna elephant). It matches the Rfam family "tRNA". Rfam says of the family: Transfer RNA (tRNA) molecules are approximately 80 nucleotides in length. Their secondary structure includes four short double-helical elements and three loops (D, anti-codon, and T loops). The record is from Rfam by way of RNAcentral. Lineage: Eukaryota; Metazoa; Chordata; Mammalia; Proboscidea; Elephantidae.
GCACCGGUGGUUCAGUGGUAGGACUCUCACCUUCCAUGCGGGAGACCAGGGUUUGAUUCCCAGCCAGUGCA